RNAcentral lists this ribosomal RNA (2914 nucleotides) under Duganella fentianensis. Its description in RNAcentral is "partial 23S ribosomal RNA". It matches the Rfam family "Bacterial large subunit ribosomal RNA". The record is from RNAcentral. Lineage: Bacteria; Pseudomonadati; Pseudomonadota; Betaproteobacteria; Burkholderiales; Oxalobacteraceae.
GUUAUAGGGACAAGUGAAUAAGUGCACAUGGCGGAUGCCUUGGCGAUUACAGGCGAUGAAGGACGUAGUAGCUUGCGAUAAGCUGCGGGGAGUUAGCAAACAAACUUUGAUCCGCAGAUUUCCGAAUGGGGAAACCCACCCUUUUAGGGUAUCACUCACUGAAUACAUAGGUGUGUGAGGCGAACGCGGCGAACUGAAACAUCUAAGUAGCUGCAGGAAAAGAAAUCAACCGAGAUUCCCAAAGUAGUGGCGAGCGAAAUGGGAAGAGCCUGUACGUGAUAGUCGUUUUGAUAGUGGAAUCCUCUGGAAAGUGGAACCAUAGCGGGUGAUAGUCCCGUACACGAAAUCAAAACGGUGGUACUAAGCGUACGACAAGUAGGGCGGGACACGAGAAAUCCUGUCUGAAUAUGGGGGGACCAUCCUCCAAGGCUAAAUACUCGUAAUCGACCGAUAGUGAACCAGUACCGUGAGGGAAAGGCGAAAAGAACCCCGGGAGGGGAGUGAAAUAGAUCCUGAAACCGUGUGCAUACAAACAGUAGGAGCAGACUUGUUCUGUGACUGCGUACCUUUUGUAUAAUGGGUCAGCGACUUACAUUCAGUGGCAAGGUUAACCAGAUAGGGAAGCCGUAGAGAAAUCGAGUCCGAACAGGGCGAUAGUCGCUGGGUGUAGACCCGAAACCAAGUGAUCUACUCAUGGCCAGGAUGAAGGUGCGGUAACACGCACUGGAGGUCCGAACCCACUAAUGUUGAAAAAUUAGGGGAUGAGCUGUGGGUAGGGGUGAAAGGCUAAACAAACUUGGAAAUAGCUGGUUCUCUCCGAAAACUAUUUAGGUAGUGCCUCAAGUAUCACCAUCGGGGGUAGAGCACUGUUAUGGCUAGGGGGUCAUCGCGACUUACCAAACCAUUGCAAACUCCGAAUACCGAUGAGUGCGAGCUUGGGAGACAGACGUCGGGUGCUAACGUCCGGCGUCAAGAGGGAAACAACCCAGACCGCCAGCUAAGGUCCCAAAGAUUGGCUAAGUGGAAAACGAAGUGGGAAGGCUAAAACAGUCAGGAUGUUGGCUUAGAAGCAGCCAUCAUUUAAAGAAAGCGUAAUAGCUCACUGAUCGAGUCGUCCUGCGCGGAAGAUGUAACGGGGCUAAGCCAGUCACCGAAGCUGCGGAUAUCCGCANNNNNNNNNNNNNNNNNNNNNNNNNNNNNNNNNNNNNNNNNNNNNNNNNNNNNNNNNNNNNNNNNNNNNNNNNNNNNNNNNNNNNNNNNNNNNNCCGCAAGGAUAUGGUAGGAGAGCGUUCUGUAAGCCUGCGAAGGUGGCUUGUAAAGGCUGCUGGAGGUAUCAGAAGUGCGAAUGCUGACAUGAGUAGCGAUAAUGGGGGUGAAAAGCCCCCACGCCGUAAGCCCAAGGUUUCCUGUUCAACGUUCAUCGGAGCAGGGUGAGUCGGCCCCUAAGGCGAGGCAGAGAUGCGUAGCUGAUGGGAAGCAGGUUAAUAUUCCUGCACCGUCGUAUGAUGCGAUGGGGGGACGGAUCGCGGAAGGUUGUCUGACUGUUGGAAUAGUCAGUUUCUGAUUCAUAGAAGGUGCUUAGGCAAAUCCGGGCACGUAAUUCAAGGGAUUGGGACGAGUGAACUUGUUCACGAAGCAAUCGGAAGUGGUUCCAAGAAAAGCCUCUAAGCUUCAGUCAUACGAGACCGUACCGCAAACCGACACAGGUGGGCGAGAUGAGUAUUCUAAGGCGCUUGAGAGAACUCGGGAGAAGGAACUCGGCAAAUUGGUACCGUAACUUCGGGAAAAGGUACGCCCUUGUAGCUUGGCUGAUUUACUUCAGUAGGGCGAACGGGUUGCAAUAAACUGGUGGCUGCGACUGUUUAAUAAAAACACAGCACUCUGCAAACACGAAAGUGGACGUAUAGGGUGUGACGCCUGCCCGGUGCUGGAAGAUUAAAUGAUGGGGUGCAAGCUCUUGAUUGAAGUCCCAGUAAACGGCGGCCGUAACUAUAACGGUCCUAAGGUAGCGAAAUUCCUUGUCGGGUAAGUUCCGACCUGCACGAAUGGCGUAACGAUGGCCACACUGUCUCCUCCCGAGACUCAGCGAAGUUGAAGUGUUUGUGAUGAUGCAAUCUACCCGCGGCUAGACGGAAAGACCCCAUGAACCUUUACUGUAGCUUUGCAUUGGACUUUGAAUCAAUCUGUGUAGGAUAGGUGGGAGGCUUUGAAGCGGGGACGCCAGUUCUCGUGGAGCCAUCCUUGAAAUACCACCCUGGUUCAUUUGAGGUUCUAACCUUGGCCCGUUAUCCGGGUCGGGGACAGUGCAUGGUAGGCAGUUUGACUGGGGCGGUCUCCUCCUAAAGUGUAACGGAGGAGUUCGAAGGUACGCUAGGUACGGUCGGACAUCGUGCUAAUAGUGCAAUGGCAUAAGCGUGCUUAACUGCGAGACUGACAAGUCGAGCAGGUACGAAAGUAGGACAUAGUGAUCCGGUGGUUCUGUAUGGAAGGGCCAUCGCUCAACGGAUAAAAGGUACUCUGGGGAUAACAGGCUGAUUCCUCCCAAGAGUUCAUAUCGACGGGGGAGUUUGGCACCUCGAUGUCGGCUCAUCACAUCCUGGGGCUGUAGCCGGUCCCAAGGGUAUGGCUGUUCGCCAUUUAAAGUGGUACGUGAGCUGGGUUUAAAACGUCGUGAGACAGUUUGGUCCCUAUCUGCCGUGGGCGUUGGAAAUUUGAAGGGGGCUGCUCCUAGUACGAGAGGACCGGAGUGGACAGACCUCUGGUGUACCGGUUGUCACGCCAGUGGCAUUGCCGGGUAGCUAAGUCUGGAAGAGAUAACCGCUGAAAGCAUCUAAGCGGGAAACUUGCCUUAAGAUGAGAUUUCCCAGAGCCUUGAGCUCUUUGAAGGGUCGUUCGAGACCAGGACGUUGAUAGG